Molecule: ribosomal RNA, 43 nt
Filed under: Sisyrinchium cuspidatum
Lineage: Eukaryota; Viridiplantae; Streptophyta; Magnoliopsida; Asparagales; Iridaceae
Description: partial 18S ribosomal RNA
Source: RNAcentral
UCGUAACAAGGUUUNCGUAGGUGAANCUGCGGAAGGAUCAUUG